CAAUAGCGUAUAUUAAAGUUGUUGCAGUUAAAAAGCUCGUAGUUGGAUUUCUGGUCGGAAGCUCCAGUCCUCUGAUGAGCGUACAAGUGCGUCCUACCAUCCUUCUGUUAACCUUUAAGGCUUUCGCGGCUUUCUAGGGGCUCAGAUAUUUUACCUUGAGAAAAUUAGAGUGUUUCAGGCAGGCUAGCGCCGGAAUACAUUAGCAUGGAAUAAUGGAAUAGGACUUUUGCCUCUUCUGUUGGUCAUGAGGCUCGAGUAAUGAUUAAUAGGGAUAGUUGGGGGCAUUAGUACUUAACUGUCAGAGGUGAAAUUCUCGGAUUUGUUAAAGACUAACUUAUGCGAAAGCAUUUGCCAAGGAUGUUUUCAUUA
Molecule: ribosomal RNA, 369 nt
Filed under: uncultured eukaryote
Lineage: Eukaryota
Description: partial 18S ribosomal RNA
Rfam family: Eukaryotic small subunit ribosomal RNA
Source: RNAcentral